This 429-nucleotide ribosomal RNA is filed under the name Chloroflexota bacterium. RNAcentral's name for it is "Chloroflexi bacterium partial 16S ribosomal RNA". It matches the Rfam family "Bacterial small subunit ribosomal RNA", at positions 355 to 776 of the family's 1533-position model. The record is from RNAcentral. Lineage: Bacteria; Bacillati; Chloroflexota.
UGGGGAAUAUUGCACAAUGGGCGCAAGCCUGAUGCAGCCAUGCCGCGUGUAUGAAGAAGGCCUUCGGGUUGUAAAGUACUUUCAGUCGGGAGGAAGGUGUCAAGGUUAAUAACCUUGGCAAUUGACGUUACCGACAGAAGAAGCACCGGCUAACUCCGUGCCAGCAGCCGCGGUAAUACGGAGGGUGCAAGCGUUAAUCGGAAUUACUGGGCGUAAAGCGCACGCAGGCGGUUGAUUGAGUCAGAUGUGAAAUCCCCGGGCUUAACCCGGGACUUGCAUCUGAUACUGGUCAGCUAGAGUCUUGUAGAGGGGGGUAGAAUUCCAUGUGUAGCGGUGAAAUGCGUAGAGAUGUGGAGGACUACCGGUGGCGAAGGCGGCCCCCUGGACAAAGACUGACGCUCAGGUGCGAAAGCGUGGGGAGCAAACAGG